Odocoileus virginianus texanus is the source of this 3262-nucleotide non-coding RNA. NCBI's taxonomy places the organism in Eukaryota, Metazoa, Chordata, Mammalia, Artiodactyla, Cervidae. The record is from RefSeq and is a predicted model, not a curated record.
UGGAAGGCUACAUAUAAUCCAUGGGAUCACAAAGAGUGGGACAUGACUGAGAGACUAACACUUUCACUUUAUCAAAUCACUGUGUUCCCCCAACAGGAUGAGAGAGGUUUACUCUCUAGAGAAGUGGAAUCUAAGAGGCCCUAUGCCCAGGACACUGGGCAGAGACAGGAGGAAAGAGUGAGGUCACAGCAUGGAAGAAAGUAUAGGGAAGAAUCCACAUCUUGAAUUCAGACUCAGCUCCUUUCUGCAUCCUGCUUCCUGAAAUUCAGCAGCAAGAGAAUAACUCCAGAGAGUGAACACUCUGGAGAAAAGACCUCCAAAUAUUUCCAUGUAGAUAGAUAAUUCUCUUAAUGUGUCUAGCAGAGUGAAUGAAAUAAAAACAUUCACCCCAAGAUAGAGGGUCGUGAAACUUCAGAACACCAGGAUAGAAGAGAAAAUCACAAAAACUUUCAGAGAAAUUUAGCAGGUCAUAGAUAAAGGAUUAGAGUUCACAACAGCAUCAGAAUUCAAGAGCAACUAUCAAACUGGGUAUUGAUUUUAUAAAGGGUAUUUUCAGACCAGUGUGUUUGACAAAAUUUUUACCCACUCUCCCUUUUCUCAUCCAAAUGCCUGAGUCACGUCAUAAGAAGCCAUGGCACUUGGUUCCGCGAUCUCCAGGGGCUUUUAGGGCCUUCGCCUCCUGUCACCCGGGUGCCGCGGCGCAGGUGGGAGACAGACGGCCCCCUGGCUGGGUGUUGUCCUCGCGGCCAGCGGGAAGCGAGCGAUCCCUUAGAAGCCUAGGGGUUCUGCGACCCCUCUUACCAACGCCAUGGCAAUUUCAGGUUGCAACAAGGACAGUGUCCGAGCAGGCUGUAAAAAAUGUGGCUACCUUGGUCACCUGACUUUUGAAUGCCGCAAUUUUCUCCGAGUAGAUCCCAAAAGGGAUAUAGUUUUGGAUGUCAGCAGCACAAGCAGUGAAGAGAGUGAUGAAGAAAAUGAGGAACUGAAUAAACUGCAAGCAUUGCAAGAAAAAAGAAUUAAUGAAGAAGAGGAAAAGAAAAAAGCAAAGAGAAAAUCAAGUUGAAAAAAAAAAAGGAAGUGGUCUUAUUCAUCUAGUUCCACUGAAGAGGACACUUCAAAACAAAAGAAGCAAAAAUACCAGAAGAAAGAAAAGAAAAAGGAGAAAAAGAGUAAGUCAAAAAAAGGGAAGCAUCACAAAAAGGACAAAAAGAAGAGAAAAAAGGAAAAGCAUUCCUCUGCCCCUAACAGUUCUGAAAUCUCCAAAAAGUAACUGAGACUGGCCUGAGCUAUUAAAUUUAAAAAUUUAGUUUUGAAAAUUAUUUGACCUUAUUUGACCUUGAAAUUUGCCAUAUAAUUAUGCUUUGCAAUAAAUCACAGCCAUUUCCAUAUAGACAUUUUUUCAUAUAUAGGACCAUUAAUGUCUGACAAUAUUCUAAUGUGCUAUGAUUAUAGAGUAUUGAAUCAGUCUUAUUACUUGAUAGCCAUGCCCCAAGUAUGGAUAUCUGUGCAACAAAACUCAUCAUUUUUGAUAUUCCUUUCUGUGUUAAUGUUAUUACUUCAUAAGCUGAUUGUAAAUUGCUUUUCUACAGUCAACACAGGCAGUCUACCUAGCAGUAAAUGAAUAUUGCUGGAUUAAGUGUCCAUCUUCCAGUGAUAAAGCAAGGUAGGCUUGACACUGAAAAUUUUAAAAGCUUUAUAUCCUAUGAUAAUAUAUUACUAUUAAGAUAAUUAAAUUCUUCACUUGGAUUUUUUUUUUUUUUUGGAUGUCAUAGGAGAUGAAGCUGCUUUAUUGGUCUUGACUAGAACUUUUUAAAUGAAUGGUGUCAGCAGGAAUAUGAUAAUGAAAAUAUUUAUAAGAAAAUUUCACUGUUUUCUGAGAUGCAGAGUUUCUAGUACCUGCCUCCUUUAUUUUUGUAACAAAAUAUUUCUUCUUUGUUUAAAAAGACAAGUCUAGUUCAACCUAUUUGUAAGUCUGGUAGAGAUGAUGCUGUGUUGGGCAGGAUUUUUAGGACAGACUCCUGGGUUGUUUUACAAAUGUGCCAUAUUGGCAUGUCUUAAAGAGAUACCUCAAACACAGAGUUUUUUAUUUAGAAGGACAACAGCUAAAUCUUCAUUAGGACUGAUUUUUAUUGUAUUCAGUAUAUAAAUUUUAUGAAGCUUGUUUCUAUGAGUAAUGUGGAAAUUUUUAUAAAUGUGAACAUAUAUAUUUAUUUGUCUGAAAUAAUUUGUAGUUUUGAAGCAGGUUUCCAUUGAAUUUAUGAUUUCAUAAUAUGACCAGUUUGGGGUGUUUCUCUUACUUCAGUCAUAAAUCUCAGGAGCAGUGACAAAAAUUUAGGAUCAAGAAUUUUAUUCUGUACUUUUUAAAAUUUAAGAGCCCGGGAGUUGCAUCAUGAAAGCCUUUAUAUAAUAAUGAAAAUUUUGUAUGAGUCAGCAUUGUUGGACACAUAGUAGUAGGUAUAAAUGUUUCUACAUUAUUUUUAAAUUUCACAAUGAUCAGUGUUAGUGUUACUUACUUUGUGGAACACUCCAAUAUCCCUUACGUCCUAUAAGUUAAAUAAUUUUUAUUGCAGCAGCAUCAAAAGUCAGCUAGUUAUCAUAGCACAGCACCAAAGAUUGCCGAGUACCUCACUGUGGUGCAGUUACAAAUUGGUAGCCUACAGAUGUAGCUGUAGGUGUGUUCAUAAUGAUGAAAUCAGGUAAGUGUACAUAACCUCACAGGCUGGAAAGGUGGACUGAUUCUUCCUUCACCCAGCAGCCCUAGCUGGCAUGACCUCAGUAAGACUGGGAGAGCCUCAUAGCUCCUCUGAGUAUGUGCUUACCAGGCGUAGACUCUAGGGAAGCUACGUCCACAUCCCUGUUGUAGAAUUGCAGUUACGGAUGCUGCCACACUUGGAGCUUUUCAAUAACCCAGCUUAGUCUGGUGGCCUCCUUUAAAAGACAUCCACUUGUUUAAAUGUGCUAGUCAGUUAUUUGGAGAGAAACACAGAGCUGUUAGGUUUUUAAGGGUUUGUUUUGCCUUUGCUGUAGUUUAUUUUUUAAAAUGGUACUUUAUGAAAAUACAGUCCUUUGGUUAUCAGGAUUAAAAAAAGUAAAAAAAAAAAAUUCCAACUUUAAAAAGAUGAUUAGAAAGUGCUACAUGCAAAUAGAUGGUCUCAACUGUAUUGAGGGUGUAAUGUGGUUAAAAGUGAUCAUUGUAGUGACACAGAGUUAAUCCAGUUAUUUGUAAGUUUUAUUUCUGUUAAUUAUAGAGACAAUAAAUUGG